AUGCGUGAUCAGGUCGGCAUCGACCUGGACGGCUUCCCCCUCGACCACGAGUUCCUGGAGGACUAUGGGCUAGAGGAAGAGGACGAGUGCGACAUCGAAGUGGAGUCUUUGUUCGAGGACGAGCUCGCCAACCAAGCCGCCGGUCCCAAGCCGAAGCGCAAGAGCAAGCGCACGAAGGCGUACACAGCUGUCGAGGACAAGCUUCUUUGCGAGUGUUGGCGAGACAUUGGACAAGACCCAAAGACAGGCGCCGAGCAAAAGCAUUCGACCUUUUGGACUUGUGUGCACCGAGAGUUUCAUGAGCGCAAGAAGUUUCCACCUUACCAAUUUGUGAGCACGCGCGGGUGGGUCUCCAUUUCCAACAAGAGUGCAACAAGUUUUGCGCCACCCUUGAGAGCGUCAAGGCCCGCCCCGUGA
RNAcentral lists this ribosomal RNA (417 nucleotides) under Triticum aestivum (bread wheat). RNAcentral describes it as "partial small subunit ribosomal RNA". The record is from RNAcentral. Lineage: Eukaryota; Viridiplantae; Streptophyta; Magnoliopsida; Poales; Poaceae.